Myotis lucifugus (little brown bat) is the source of this 98-nucleotide microRNA precursor. The record is from Ensembl. NCBI's taxonomy places the organism in Eukaryota, Metazoa, Chordata, Mammalia, Chiroptera, Vespertilionidae.
AUGAACAGCUAUGCACUGCACAACCCUAGGAGAGUGUGCCAUUCACAUAGACUAUAAUUGAAUGGCGCCACUAGGGUUGUGCAGUGCACAACCUACAC